ACUCGAGUGGCGAACGGGUGAGUAACACGUGGGUGAUCUGCCCUGCACUUCGGGAUAAGCCUGGGAAACUGGGUCUAAUACCGGAUAGGAGCCAUUUUUAGUGUGAUGGUUGGAAAGUUUUUCGGUGUAGGAUGAGCUCGCGGCCUAUCAGCUUGUUGGUGGGGUAAUGGCCUACCAAGGCGGCGACGGGUAGCCGGCCUGAGGGGUGGACGGCCACAUUGGGACUGAGAUACGGCCCAG
This 240-nucleotide ribosomal RNA is filed under the name uncultured Actinomycetales bacterium. RNAcentral describes it as "partial 16S ribosomal RNA". It matches the Rfam family "Bacterial small subunit ribosomal RNA", at positions 89 to 334 of the family's 1533-position model. The record is from RNAcentral. Lineage: Bacteria; Bacillati; Actinomycetota; Actinomycetes; Actinomycetales.